AUGUUUGAGCAGUUUGGACAUAUUCUCUAUGAGUGCAGCGCAUACCAAGUGGACAAUCUUGAGAAGGGAAAAUUGUAUCUUGCCAUUCAUAUCGAGGCUGCUAGGAGAGAAAAGUGGUGUGGGGUGUCAUAUAAGGUAACUAUUCUCGAAGGUGGUGAUGAAUUCGACUGCGAGUGCGAGCAAUUUGCACACAUGGGACUACUUUGCAGCCAUGUUUUGAAGAUACUGCAGAAACACAUUGUGAAGCGAUGGACCAGGGACGCACGGGACAUACUACCGGCUCACCUUACUCAAUAUCAGAGAGAUAAUGCACACAAAAAUCCAUCCAGCUUCAGGCAUUUCAAUAUGUACAUGCAUGCCAUGGAGUUGGUGCGGAAGGACGAUGCAAGUGUGGAAGCAUAUGAGAAAUUCAUGACUCUCAUUAAGAAUUGCAUGGUCCAAAUGGAACCAUUUGCAGAAAUUAGGGAUGGGCUGGGUUUGGAGGACAGGGUUGGUCAACAUGGAGAUGUUGUUAACCAGCUGACAACACAUACAACAGUUGUUGCAGCAAGUGGAGGUGUAGGCAUGGGGACUCUGAAUGAUGAUGCUACCUCUGCAAAUGAGAGUGGGAACAGACUCACUGGUUUGUUGGCGCCAAAGAAAAGGAAAGAAAUGGAGCGCUCGACAAAUAGCCGCGAGAAGGCACCGUACGAGGGGCCAGCAAACGGACAAGGUUCUGCAGCACAUGUCGGCAGCAGGGGUACAAGAGGACUACCUGCCCGGACUGGGGUGAUGCGCCGAAGCCUGUUCGCAAACCAGCGAGGUGCAAAAGUUGUGGAAUUGAAGGUCAUAGGCGAAACAACUGCCACAAAGUGGGUGAUCUGCGGGUGA
RNAcentral lists this ribosomal RNA (870 nucleotides) under Triticum aestivum (bread wheat). Its description in RNAcentral is "partial small subunit ribosomal RNA". Lineage: Eukaryota; Viridiplantae; Streptophyta; Magnoliopsida; Poales; Poaceae. The record is from RNAcentral.